RNAcentral lists this transfer RNA (72 nucleotides) under Cavia porcellus (domestic guinea pig). It matches the Rfam family "tRNA". Rfam says of the family: Transfer RNA (tRNA) molecules are approximately 80 nucleotides in length. Their secondary structure includes four short double-helical elements and three loops (D, anti-codon, and T loops). Lineage: Eukaryota; Metazoa; Chordata; Mammalia; Rodentia; Caviidae. The record is from Rfam by way of RNAcentral.
GGGGACGUAGCUUAGCGGCAGAGCUCUUGCUUUGCAUGCGCAGUGCCUUGGGUUCAAUCCCCAACACUACCA